AUCCCCUAGUAACUGCGAGUGAAGCGGGAAAAGCUCAAAUUUAAAAUCUGACAGUCUUUGGCUGUCCGAGUUGUAAUCUAGAGAAGCAUUAUCCGCGUUGGACCGUGUACAAGUCUCCUGGAAUGGAGCGUCAUAGAGGGUGAGAAUCCCGUCUUUGACACGGACUGCCAGGGCUUUGUGAUGUGCUCUCAAAGAGUCGAGUUGUUUGGGAAUGCAGCUCAAAAUGGGUGGUAAAUUCCAUCUAAAGCUAAAUAUUGGCGAGAGACCGAUAGCGAACAAGUACCGUGAGGGAAAGAUGAAAAGAACUUUGGAAAGAGAGUUAAACAGUACGUGAAAUUGCUGAAAGGGAAACGCUUGAAGUCAGUCGCGUUGGCCAGGGAUCAACCUUGCUUUUGCUUGGUGUACUUUCUGGUUGACGGGUCAGCAUCAAUUUUGACUGUUGGAAAAAAGUCAAGGGAAUGUGGCAUCUUCGGAUGUGUUAUAGCCCUUGGUUGCAUACAAUGGUUGGGAUUGAGGAACUCAGCACGCCGCAAGGCCGGGUGAAAACCACGUACGUGCUUAGGAUGCUGGCAUAAUGGCUUUAAUCGACCCGUCUUGAAACACGGACCAAGGAGUCUAACAUGCCUGCGAGUGUUUGGGUGGAAAACUCGAGCGCGAAAUGAAAGUGAAAGUUGAGAUCCCUGUCAUGGGGAGCAUCGACGCCCGGACCAGACCUUUUGUGACGGAUCCGCGGUAGAGCAUGUAUGUUGGGACCCGAAAGAUGGUGAACUAUGCCUGAAUAGGGUGAAGCCAGAGGAAACUCUGGUGGAGGCUCGUAGCGAUUCUGACGUGCAAAUCGAUCGUCAAAUUUGGGUAUAGGGGCGAAAG
RNAcentral lists this ribosomal RNA (867 nucleotides) under Thaxterogaster aff. vibratilis. RNAcentral describes it as "partial large subunit ribosomal RNA". It matches the Rfam family "Eukaryotic large subunit ribosomal RNA", at positions 73 to 929 of the family's 3401-position model. Lineage: Eukaryota; Fungi; Basidiomycota; Agaricomycetes; Agaricales; Cortinariaceae. The record is from RNAcentral.